AUACGGAGGUUGCGAGCGUUAAUCGGAAUUACUGGGCGUAAAGCGUACGUAGGCGGUUUGCUAAGUCAGAUGUGAAAGCCCCGGGCUUAACCUGGGAACUGCAUUUGAUACUGGCAGACUAGAGUAUGAUAGAGGGGGGUAGAAUUCCUGGUGUAGCGGUGAAAUGCGUAGAUAUCAGGAGGAAUACCAGUGGCGAAGGCGGCCCCCUGGAUCAAUACUGACGCUGAGGUACGAAAGCGUGGGGAGCGAACAGGAUUAGAUACCCUAGUAGUCC
This 274-nucleotide ribosomal RNA is filed under the name uncultured bacterium. RNAcentral's name for it is "partial 16S ribosomal RNA". It matches the Rfam family "Bacterial small subunit ribosomal RNA", at positions 523 to 796 of the family's 1533-position model. The record is from RNAcentral.